RNAcentral lists this small nucleolar RNA (220 nucleotides) under Olea europaea subsp. europaea. Its description in RNAcentral is "Plant small nucleolar RNA U3". It matches the Rfam family "Plant small nucleolar RNA U3". From Rfam's summary of the family: Small nucleolar RNAs (snoRNAs) are involved in the processing and modification of rRNA in the nucleolus. Lineage: Eukaryota; Viridiplantae; Streptophyta; Magnoliopsida; Lamiales; Oleaceae. The record is from Rfam by way of RNAcentral.
ACGACCUUACUUGAACAGGAUCUGUUCUGUAGGACGUACCUCUGUAUCCUUGAUUUCUAAGGAGACAGGAAACCAAGUCUGGUGGAUGAAACAUGACUUGCUAGAUCAGAGCGUGAUUAAUAGCUCGGCCACAAUCAAUUGGUAGUGGUCGAUUGCAAUGGAGGAUCGUUCUCAGUUGGCUUUGCUCUACUGGGGUGGUCUAGCAGUGACCUGACAGACU